Molecule: ribosomal RNA, 253 nt
Filed under: uncultured bacterium
Lineage: Bacteria
Description: partial 16S ribosomal RNA
Rfam family: Bacterial small subunit ribosomal RNA
Source: RNAcentral
UACGUAUGGAGCAAGCGUUAUCCGGAUUUACUGGGUGUAAAGGGAGCGCAGGCGGUCUGGCAAGUCUGAUGUGAAAGGCCGGGGCUCAACCCCGGGACUGCAUUGGAAACUGUCAGACUGGAGUGUCGGAGAGGUAAGCGGAAUUCCUAGUGUAGCGGUGAAAUGCGUAGAUAUUAGGAGGAACACCAGUGGUGAAGGCGGCUUACUGGACGAUGACUGACGCUGAGGCUCGAAAGCGUGGGGAGCAAACAGG